Molecule: long non-coding RNA, 272 nt
Organism: Prunus mume (Japanese apricot)
Lineage: Eukaryota; Viridiplantae; Streptophyta; Magnoliopsida; Rosales; Rosaceae
Source: RefSeq, a predicted model, not a curated record
GGCUGUGCCUUCACUGUACCUCGCAAGAGUUACACGCACGAGAUUGUUACUCUGGUACAGAGCACUGGAAGUUCUGCUCGGUUCAACUCAUUACUCUACCGACGUCGAUAUGUGGUCCGUCGGAUGUCUUUUCGGGAAAGAAUAGAAAACGAGCCAUAAUGGCCAAGAUAGCUGCUCUUGCAAAAAAAAGGCCAGAAAAGGAUGUCAAAGUUUCCACUGUGAUGGAUACUAAGAAUAGGCUGAGUUCAAAAAACAAAAAUCAAGUAUGAUGC